RNAcentral lists this ribosomal RNA (109 nucleotides) under Pteropus alecto (black flying fox). RNAcentral also lists the same sequence under 1 other name. The record is from RNAcentral. Lineage: Eukaryota; Metazoa; Chordata; Mammalia; Chiroptera; Pteropodidae.
GUCUAUGGCCAUGCCUCCCUGAACAUGUCUGAUCUCAGAAGCUAAGCAAGGUUGGGCCUAGUUAGUACUUGGAUGGGAGACCGCCUAGGAAGACCAGAUGCUGUAGGCA